GAUGAACGCUGGCGGCAUGCCUAAUACAUGCAAGUCGAACGGUAACAGGUUAAGCUGACGAGUGGCGAACGGGUGAGUAAUGCAUCGGAACGUGCCCGGUCGUGGGGGAUAACGCAGCGAAAGCUGCGCUAAUACCGCAUACGAUCUGAGGAUGAAAGCGGGGGACCGUAAGGCCUCGCGCGAUCGGAGCGGCCGAUGUCAGAUUAGGUAGUUGGUGGGGUAAAGGCUCACCAAGCCAACGAUCUGUAGCUGGUCUGAGAGGACGACCAGCCACACUGGGACUGAGACACGGCCCAGACUCCUACGGGAGGCAGCAGUGGGGAAUUUUGGACAAUGGGCGAAAGCCUGAUCCAGCAAUGCCGCGUGCAGGAAGAAGGCCUUCGGGUUGUAAACUGCUUUUGUACGGAGCGAAAAGGUCUCCUCUAAUACAGGGGGCUCAUGACGGUACCGUAAGAAUAAGCACCGGCUAACUACGUGCCAGCCGCCGCCGUAA
Molecule: ribosomal RNA, 493 nt
Filed under: uncultured bacterium
Lineage: Bacteria
Description: partial 16S ribosomal RNA
Rfam family: Bacterial small subunit ribosomal RNA
Source: RNAcentral